GAUUGACCCAGAAUCUGAUUUUCUACCUUGUCAUCCAGAGGCUAUCCUGGGUUGAGAUUUCUCUAGAUCAGUCAAAGGAUCCACUGUCUAUGCCAAGUUUCUUCUGGAAAGAAGCGAUCGAUGGAACUUUCCAUGCAGCAGGUAAAUGGUUGCAGAUAGAAGAUUUAUUAGAGAUUUUACAUCCAGCCCAUGAGGAUUUUGACUGAUUCCAUUGAGCAGGCUCAGCCAUUAAAAGAAGUCUUCGACUGGAUGACAAGAGCUAAAAGCAAUACUGCAUGCACCCUUACUCUGGUCUUCUUCAUUUCUGCUGUGCAAUGCUACUACCUUCAGCAACCACACUAAAUACUGGGUGCCAAAUGAUAAUGCUGAGCAAAUGCACACCAAUUAAAACGUGAUUAUACCUGUCCUGUGGAUAAGAAUCUGCAAAACCGAAGAAUGGAGCUGAUAAAAUGCGCAGUGGGAGGGAGAUUUUGUUGGAGCAUGAAACUAUACGGCAUACCAAGUACUCACAUUCUUAUAUAUCAAGCAUGUGUCUGACAGCAAUCACAGUGAAGAAAAUUUGUGCCAAUAAAAUUAGAAAGACCAUCAGAGAAAAAAUUGCAGUAAAUAAACAUGCCAAAGUUAACAUUUUCAGUACCCAA
RNAcentral lists this long non-coding RNA (641 nucleotides) under Fukomys damarensis (Damara mole-rat). RNAcentral's name for it is "lncRNA (ENSFDAG00000028616.1)". Lineage: Eukaryota; Metazoa; Chordata; Mammalia; Rodentia; Bathyergidae. The record is from RNAcentral.